GUCGUUUCACGAGGAGGACGUCGGCGGUUCGGAAACAUGGCCGGUGUUUUUCAAGUGAUGGCAUUUGGGGUUCGCUCGCUGGACAAAAGAGAGGUCGAUGAUUCUUUCAUGACAAAGCUUGCCAAGAUUGCUACCGCUGAAAUGAUAUCCUCUAAGGAAAUCAAUUCGGACUGGCAACGAGCAGCAACAAGUCUACUUGUUGCAAUUGGUUUGCAUUUAC
Molecule: long non-coding RNA, 220 nt
Organism: Prosopis cineraria
Lineage: Eukaryota; Viridiplantae; Streptophyta; Magnoliopsida; Fabales; Fabaceae
Exons: 3
Source: RefSeq, a predicted model, not a curated record